CAAAAGUGGACGACAAUCGGUACUCAAUGAAAAUUUUUUUUGAGAUAAGGAAGCAAAAGUAUCUUGAGGCAUUGGAUAAGUAUGAUCGUUCCAAGGCUGUGGAUAUAUUAGUAAAGGAUUUGAAAGUUUUUGUCACAUUUAAUGAAGAGCUUUACAAGAAAAUCACUCAGCUCUUGACAAUGGAGAAUUUCAGGUGAUGACUGGGGUGUCUUUAAAAGUACUAUUUAUCAGCAGCGUAACAAUCAAAGCUACUGGUAGUCAUAUGUAUUUUUGUUUCGCUCUAUCAUUAUUCUAUUCUCUUUAUUUCAUUGACCAACAAAUGAACUAUGGCCUACUUGAUUACCUUCCUAUGAUGUUUUUCUAUGAUAUUCUUGUU
Molecule: long non-coding RNA, 376 nt
Organism: Juglans regia (Persian walnut)
Lineage: Eukaryota; Viridiplantae; Streptophyta; Magnoliopsida; Fagales; Juglandaceae
Exons: 3
Source: RefSeq, a predicted model, not a curated record